This 402-nucleotide ribosomal RNA is filed under the name uncultured bacterium. Its description in RNAcentral is "bacterial SSU rRNA". It matches the Rfam family "Bacterial small subunit ribosomal RNA", at positions 8 to 412 of the family's 1533-position model. The record is from RNAcentral.
AGAGUUUGAUCCUGGCUCAGAUUGAACGCUGGCGGCAGGCCUAACACAUGCAAGUCGAGCGGAUGAGUGGAGCUUGCUCCAUGAUUCAGCGGCGGACGGGUGAGUAAUGCCUAGGAAUCUGCCUGGUAGUGGGGGACAACGUUUCGAAAGGAACGCUAAUACCGCAUACGUCCUACGGGAGAAAGUGGGGGAUCUUCGGACCUCACGCUAUCAGAUGAGCCUAGGUCGGAUUAGCUAGUUGGUGAGGUAAUGGCUCACCAAGGCGACGAUCCGUAACUGGUCUGAGAGGAUGAUCAGUCACACUGGAACUGAGACACGGUCCAGACUCCUACGGGAGGCAGCAGUGGGGAAUAUUGGACAAUGGGCGAAAGCCUGAUCCAGCCAUGCCGCGUGUGUGAAGAA